UACAGAGGGGGCAAGCGUUGUUCGGAAUUACUGGGCGUAAAGGGUGCGUAGGCGGCUUUCUAAGUUGGAUGUGAAAACUAUGGGUUUAAUUUAUAGUUUGCAUCCAAAACUGGAGAGCUUGGGUUCUGGAGGGGAAAGCGGAAUUCCUGGUGUAGCGGUGUAAUGCGUAGAUAUCAGGAGGAACACCAGUGGCGAAGGCGAAUCCCUGGAAAAUACCUGACACUGAGGCACGAAAGCUAGGGGAGCAAACAGG
This 253-nucleotide ribosomal RNA is filed under the name uncultured bacterium. RNAcentral describes it as "partial 16S ribosomal RNA". It matches the Rfam family "Bacterial small subunit ribosomal RNA", at positions 524 to 776 of the family's 1533-position model. The record is from RNAcentral.